Molecule: long non-coding RNA, 522 nt
Organism: Diorhabda carinulata
Lineage: Eukaryota; Metazoa; Arthropoda; Insecta; Coleoptera; Chrysomelidae
Exons: 2
Source: RefSeq, a predicted model, not a curated record
CUGGGAAAAAUGUUGCAAAAACGAGGAAAGUAAUUCAUAUUUGAAGCCUUCCAUUGCGUAAAUUGUUCAAGUUACACAAAAAAUAUGUUUAUUAUUAUUCAUCUUUAAAUAAACUGAAAGAAUGUCUGCAACAGUAUAUGUCUAUCUUUUGAGACUGACUCACUUAUAACUUUUCAUGAGCUUUGUUACAAAGCGAAUUUUGGAAUGGUAACGCCAUCUUAAAGUUUCUUUAUAGUACGGACACUUUUUACAUGCAGAUGGUGCGUUCCACUAAACGUUCAAAGCGCCUGAAAGGACGUUCCACAUGGCGACAGACGAUGAGGGUAGUGUCCUAGGUGGAAUGAAAGGCCCCAUAUUCAAUUAUCACACAGAGUUGGAUUCUAAUUAAUAACGAUGUGAUUUAGAGGCAUAGAAACAAGGUCUAGAUAGAAGAGUGCCAUUUUACAAAAUUUUUAUUGAAGUUAAUUUAUAUAUUUGACAUUUAUAAAUUGAAAUAAUAUAACAGCAUUUACAAUGUAAUUA